RNAcentral lists this transfer RNA (65 nucleotides) under Parachtes ignavus. RNAcentral describes it as "tRNA-Leu". Lineage: Eukaryota; Metazoa; Arthropoda; Arachnida; Araneae; Dysderidae. The record is from RNAcentral.
AUUUAUAUAGCAAACAAUUGCAUAAAAUUUAGAAUUUUAUUAUACUUAGCAUAACAGAAAUAGUU